This 235-nucleotide ribosomal RNA is filed under the name uncultured Lactobacillus sp. RNAcentral describes it as "partial 16S ribosomal RNA". It matches the Rfam family "Bacterial small subunit ribosomal RNA", at positions 125 to 354 of the family's 1533-position model. The record is from RNAcentral. Lineage: Bacteria; Bacillati; Bacillota; Bacilli; Lactobacillales; Lactobacillaceae.
CCUGCCCAAGAGAUCGGGAUAACACCUGGAAACAGAUGCUAAUACCGGAUAACAACAGAUGAUGCCUAUCAACUGUUUAAAAGAUGGUUCUGCUAUCACUCUUGGAUGGACCUGCGGUGCAUUAGCUAGUUGGUAGGGUAACGGCCUACCAAGGCGAUGAUGCAUAGCCGAGUUGAGAGACUGAUCGGCCACAUUGGGACUGAGACACGGCCCAAACUCCUACGGGAGGCAGCAG